Molecule: long non-coding RNA, 1690 nt
Filed under: Pocillopora damicornis (cauliflower coral)
Lineage: Eukaryota; Metazoa; Cnidaria; Anthozoa; Scleractinia; Pocilloporidae
Description: uncharacterized LOC113671150
Source: RNAcentral
CAAGAUCCCUUCGAACAGUGCACGUUGACUUUGUCGUGGGAAUGGCCUCACAGUCUACAACUAGUUUUUGACUUGAAGAUGUUACGGUUUAAUUCCGUGAAGCUAUGGAAGAGAUUCCAUGGAAUGCUUGCAGCUGGAAAAUUAUCACACCAGAAAUACAUCAUCGUAUUUCAAGAUUGCGUCUUAAAGUUUUCAGGAUGAAGUGUCUCCCAGUAAGGAAGUGUCUCCAAUGUCUCACCGCUUCUAUUAUGGCCUAGGCUUCCUUCUCUAUGGAUGCAUGCUUCAGCUCACCGCCUUAAAUGGUUCGUGGGAAGAAGGAAACAGGUCUUCCAUUCUGAUUGAGAGUGGCUGCUAGUGCUACUUCGGACGCAUCUGUCUCGACCUCAAAGGGAAUGGUCUCAUCUAUAGUGGUGACAGCAGCAUGUUCUAUUGUCUUCUUGAGACUUUCAAAGGCUUCAACAGCUGGUGGAGGCAGAGGUAAUGACUUGCAAGAGGGAAUUGGCUUGAUCCGAUCUGAGAACCUUGGGAUCCAUUGGGAAUAAUAGGAGAAUAAUCCGAGACACCUGCUCAUGGACCUAGAGUUGUGUGGAACGGGGAGUGCACUCAGGGGUCGUAAACGAUUAGGAUCCGGCCGUAUAGUACCCUCCUUAAUGAUGUAUCCGAAGACAGGGAGACGCUAGGUUGAGAAAAGACACUUUCCAGUGUUAUAACAGAGGUUCUUGCAUUUAGCAGCUUGAAGAAAGUGUUCCAUGUUAGUGUCAUAGUCCUCUUGGUCCUUGCCGCAAAUAGUAACAUUGUCAAGGUAAGGGAAGCUCGCCCCAAGAUUAUCCUCAUCUACAAACUUCAUCAUCUCUCUAGAAACAGGCUAUGCCAUUGGUGACCCCAAAGGGCAAGACCAGAGUUUAGUUUCUCAUCAGUGUGACACCUAAAAUCUUAAUUGAUUGACAUUAAAGUCAAUUUUUCUUCUUUAGAGUUUUCACAUCCUAACAGCAUACAUUGAUAUUUGUCACAGUUCACUUGCAAUAAAUUGUCCUUGUACCAUUUUGUGGACCUUUCUCCAUCUUUUGCAAGAUUCUUUACCACUUUUUCACUUGUGUGGCCAGCUACGUAGACUUGGUGAUGGUUGGGGUAUAUGGAAACACUUGCUUCUCCCACUUGCAAUGGUAAAUCAACUUGGAAAAUGUUCAGAAAAUGUUGUAGUUGUAAUGAAAUAACUCCUUUCAAAACAUUCUUAGGCAGGACAAUACAUUUCAUAGGUGUCAUGUAAGGCUGCAUUUCAUAAAUGAAGGCAUCAAAAGGAAGCAGUCGCUUUCAUGGCAACCUGUUACAUUUCUUUUUAAAUAUUAAUUUAUAGCUAAUGGUAAAUUUCUUCCCAUUGUGUCCAAAAUAAAACAUUUUCAGCAAAACAUUUUUUAACAAAAAAUGGUUAAAAUACUUCAAUCUUUAUGCCAAAUGGCUAAAUCUGUUUGCCUUUUGAGAGCUAGCGGUUAACCCCAGUGAAACCCUUUCGAUAUAUGGAUUAAUUCUAAACUUUCACUUAUACGAUUCUCUCGGCGAAGUGAUAACAAAUCUUCAUUAAAUACAACACAUCUUGCUGGGAAAUUUAUCUAACUGUUGCUAUCUUUGGACCUUGAUCCCUCGCAUGCAGAAUGGCCUAGGGGCAUAGCUUCUCUCCUAAAACCAGGAACAG